Molecule: long non-coding RNA, 806 nt
Filed under: Mus caroli (Ryukyu mouse)
Lineage: Eukaryota; Metazoa; Chordata; Mammalia; Rodentia; Muridae
Description: lncRNA (MGP_CAROLIEiJ_G0006528.1)
Source: RNAcentral
AUCUUGCUGCUUACAUAACAAAUACUUCAACAAACCUGUCUCCCAUUUAUUUCUCUUCCUGUCUCUCUUCCGUCCUCUGACCUUUGACCUCUCUUCUUCCUCUUCUCAACUUCUUGCCUUUCUCCUCCACACCCUCCUUCCCUCCCCUUCCUCCUCAGUUCUCAGUUUAGAGGAGCCUCUAAAUGGGCUCCUCUCCUGCUCUCCCCAGCCCCCUGCCUUGGUGUUAUGAGGUCCUCAGGCCCUGAGAGGGAGGUGGGUCACCAGCAGCCACAGGAAGUCAUGGCAGUAGGUUGAUCACCAGAAGCAUGGCUAAGACUGAGUCCAGGUGUGGCUGGGGCUCUGUGACACUCUUUUUUUUUUUUUUCUGUUUGUCCUGGACACUGGACACUGGACACUGGCUGGAGGAAUGAGACCUGGAAGCAGGAAGCAAAGGAUCAGCUCAGAGAGAAGGAAGAGUGCUGCCCCAGACACAGCGGGUGCCCCAUCUUCUUCAGGCAUCAGCAAUGAAAGACCUCGGCUGACUUCAGUUUUCCAGAUGAAAACAUCUGUACAACACCUGCAGGACACUGAAAACCUGCAGCUGCUAGGACAGAGGCUUCUUAGGACUCACCUGCCUGGAGGACCAACACUGCCCAGCAUCUGCCACCUGUGUGUUUGGAAAGGAGCUAAUGGGACUCUCUCACCACCUGCUGGCAUGGAGUGGAACUGCAACCCUGCUGUACUAGGCACUGCAAACUGUUCCAGUAAAGAAGGGGGAUGGGGGGUGGGGUAAUGGAAAAUUCUGUAGAAAUAAACAUGUUUACUCC